GAUGAACGCUGGCGGCGUGCCUAAUACAUGCAAGUCGAGCGAACAGACGAGGAGCUUGCUCCUCUGACGUUAGCGGCGGACGGGUGAGUAACACGUGGAUAACCUACCUAUAAGACUGGGAUAACUUCGGGAAACCGGAGCUAAUACCGGAUAAUAUAUUGAACCGCAUGGUUCAAUAGUGAAAGACGGUUUUGCUGUCACUUAUAGAUGGAUCCGCGCCGCAUUAGCUAGUUGGUAAGGUAACGGCUUACCAAGGCAACGAUGCGUAGCCGACCUGAGAGGGUGAUCGGCCACACUGGAACUGAGACAGGGUCCAGACUCCUACGGGAGGCAGCAGUAGGGAAUCUUCUGCAAUGGGCGAAAGCCUGACGGAGCAACGCCGCGUGAGUGAUGAAGGUCUUCGGAUCGUAAAACUCUGUUAUUAGGGAAGAACAAAUGUGUAAGUAACUAUGCACGUCUUGACGGUACCUAAUCAGAAAGCCACGGCUAACUACGUG
RNAcentral lists this ribosomal RNA (497 nucleotides) under uncultured bacterium. Its description in RNAcentral is "partial 16S ribosomal RNA". It matches the Rfam family "Bacterial small subunit ribosomal RNA", at positions 28 to 507 of the family's 1533-position model. The record is from RNAcentral.